GGAGCUUGCUCCUUUGACGUUAGCGGCGGACGGGUGUAGUAACACGUGGGCAACCUACCCUAUAGUUUGGGAUAACUCCGGGAAACCGGGGCUAAUACCGAAUAAUCUCUUUUACUUCAUGGUGAAAGACUGAAAGACGGCAUCUCGCUGUCGCUAUAGGAUGGGCCCGCGGCGCAUUAGCUAGUUGGUGAGGUAACGGCUCACCAAGGCGACGAUGCGUAGCCGACCUGAGAGGGUGAUCGGCCACACUGGGACUGAGACACGGCCCAGACUCCUACGGGAGGCAGCAGUAGGGAAUCUUCCACAAUGGGCGAAAGCCUGAUGGAGCAACGCCGCGUGAGUGAAGAAGGUUUUCGGAUCGUAAAACUCUGUUGUAAGGGAAGAACAAGUACAGUAGUAACUGGCUGUACCUUGACGGUACCUUAUUAGAAAGCCACGGCUAACUACGUGCCAGCAGCCGCGGUAAUACGUAGGUGGCAAGCGUUGUCCGGAAUUAUUGGGCGUAAAGCGCGCGCAGGCGGUCCUUUAAGUCUGAUGUGAAAGCCCACGGCUCAACCGUGGAGGGUCAUUGGAAACUGGGGGACUUGAGUGCAGAAGAGGAAAGUGGAAUUCCAAGUGUAGCGGUGAAAUGCGUAGAGAUUUGGAGGAACACCAGUGGCGAAGGCGACUUUCUGGUCUGUAACUGACGCUGAGGCGC
RNAcentral lists this ribosomal RNA (697 nucleotides) under Lysinibacillus macroides. RNAcentral describes it as "bacterial SSU rRNA". It matches the Rfam family "Bacterial small subunit ribosomal RNA", at positions 75 to 754 of the family's 1533-position model. The record is from RNAcentral. Lineage: Bacteria; Bacillati; Bacillota; Bacilli; Caryophanales; Bacillaceae.